RNAcentral lists this transfer RNA (73 nucleotides) under Ictidomys tridecemlineatus (thirteen-lined ground squirrel). RNAcentral describes it as "Spermophilus tridecemlineatus (thirteen-lined ground squirrel) tRNA". It matches the Rfam family "tRNA". Rfam says of the family: Transfer RNA (tRNA) molecules are approximately 80 nucleotides in length. The record is from Rfam by way of RNAcentral. Lineage: Eukaryota; Metazoa; Chordata; Mammalia; Rodentia; Sciuridae.
GGGGAUAUAGCUCAGUUGGUAGAGUGCUUGCCUCCCAUGCACAAGGCCCUGGGUUCAAUCCCCAGUGCCACCA